RNAcentral lists this ribosomal RNA (253 nucleotides) under uncultured bacterium. RNAcentral describes it as "partial 16S ribosomal RNA". It matches the Rfam family "Bacterial small subunit ribosomal RNA", at positions 524 to 776 of the family's 1533-position model. The record is from RNAcentral.
UACAGGGGGUGCUAGCGUUGUUCGGAAUCAUUGGGCGUAAAGGGCGUGUAGGCGGCCCGGUAAGUCCGCUGUGAAAGUCGGGGGCUCAACCCUCGGAUGCCGGUGGAUACUGUCGGGCUCGAGUACGGAAGAGGCGAGUGGAAUUCCUGGUGUAGCGGUGAAAUGCGCAGAUAUCAGGAGGAACACCAAUUGCGAAGGCAGCUCGCUGGGACGUUACUGACGCUGAGACGCGAAAGCGUGGGGAGCAAACAGG